AUGGGUCUUUACAACUCCAAAUCCUCCUGUGCUCUAGAAAUAAAGAAUAGUGUUCACUGGUUUUUUAAUGCUAGAGGUUUUACCAUUGGAGAGUACGAGCUGCAGAGAAAGUGGGGAAGAGGGAGGAAAGCGUCAGGUCUCAGCUGGCAGGUGCCGGAUGAGCAGGCGGUGCAGGAGCGAGCUCCGGCAGGGCCCCAGUCCCGCACCGGAGCAGGAGCACCGGCCUCGGCCCAGGGGCCGUCCCGGAGCGGCUGCUCCCGGCCCCGGCGCUGCAGCCCGGCUCGUUCGGCGGCACGGGAGAGCGGGAUGCGGGCGCUGCGGUUCGCAGGGCGCGGCGGCCUGGGGCAGCCGGGGCGGAGCGGGCUCGGCCUCCCCCGGGGGCUGCGGCGGGGCCGGGGCUGCGCUGCGCUCCGUGUCCGCCAGAGGGCGCCCCAAGGGGCGGUGGCGGCCCGGGGUCGGUACCGACGGAUCCGGUGUCCCGUUCGCUUCCAGCCGCGAUCCAGAGUCUGCUCCGGGGCAGCGCCACCCUCCCGGUGGGCCCGGCACCUCCACAGCCCCCGCUCCCCGCGGCAGCAGCGGUACCGUGCCCGGAGCCCCGGCGGGACCGCAGCCCCGCGCCGGCCGCAUCUGGAGCGGCAGCGGCAGCGUCCGGCUCGGCCUCAGCGCCCGUCCCGGAGCGGCUCCUCCCGGCCCCUGGCCGAGCCCAAAUCCCACCACGCUCCUCCGGCCCCGGGAGCUACACCCCACCUGGUACCCGCUGCAGACACGGGCAGGACCGGGACCCGAAUCCCCGGGUCCCGAUCCCGGUCCCAGCCUUACCUGAGCGCCUCGGGCUCAGCGCCGCGCUGGGAGCAGCCUCCGGUCCGGGGCUCCGCGCAGCGCUCCGAGCGCCGCUCCCGCCGCAUCCCGGAGCAGCACCCUCGGCAGAAAGCGGAACGGGAGCGGCCCCCGCUGUAUUUAGGGCCGCGGGCGGGGCGGGGCGGGACCGGCACAGGUGCGGCGGGGCGGGGCCGGGGGCAUUUAAACCGCGGGGAGUGCCCGGCGGAGCCAUUUGCUCCUCGGCGCUCGGAGCAGGAGGUUACGGCCGGGCCGCGCUCUGUAUCUCUCUUUAUACUUCUUCUAUACUUUUUUUCUUCUGUACCUCUUUUCUUU
This 1152-nucleotide long non-coding RNA is filed under the name Parus major (Great Tit). Its description in RNAcentral is "lncRNA (ENSPMJG00000013867.1)". The record is from RNAcentral. Lineage: Eukaryota; Metazoa; Chordata; Aves; Passeriformes; Paridae.